This 452-nucleotide ribosomal RNA is filed under the name uncultured bacterium. RNAcentral's name for it is "bacterial SSU rRNA". It matches the Rfam family "Bacterial small subunit ribosomal RNA", at positions 335 to 784 of the family's 1533-position model. The record is from RNAcentral.
ACUCCUACGGGAGGCAGCAGUGGGGAAUAUUGCACAAUGGGCGCAAGCCUGAUGCAGCCAUGCCGCGUGUGUGAAGAAGGCCUUGGGUUGUAAAGCACUUUCAGUCGUGAGGAAGGUAGUGUAGUUAAUAGCUGCAUUAUUUGACGUUAGCGACAGAAGAAGCACCGGCUAACUCCGUGCCAGCAGCCGCGGUAAUACGGAGGGUGCGAGCGUUAAUCGGAAUUACUGGGCGUAAAGCGCAUGCAGGUGGUUGUUAAGUCAGAUGUGAAAGCCCGGGGCUCAACCUCGGAAUAGCAUUUGAAACUGGCAGACUAGAGUACUGUAGAGGGGGUAGAAUUUCAGGUGUAGCGGUGAAAUGCGUAGAGAUCUGAAGGAUACCGGUGGCGAAGGCGGCCCCUGGACAGAUACUGACACUCAGAUGCGAAAGCGUGGGAGCGAAACAGGAUUAGAUA